This 418-nucleotide ribosomal RNA is filed under the name uncultured archaeon. RNAcentral describes it as "partial 16S ribosomal RNA". It matches the Rfam family "Archaeal small subunit ribosomal RNA", at positions 323 to 746 of the family's 1478-position model. The record is from RNAcentral.
CUACGGGGGGCAGCAGUCGCGGAACCUUUACAAUGCACGAAAGUGUGAUAGGGGGAUUUCGAGUGCCAUCUCUGAUGGCUUUUGUUAAGAGUAAAUUUCUUGGCGAAUAAAGGGGGGGUAAUAUACGUGCCAGCCGCCGCGGUAAUACGUAACCCCUAAGUAGUUUCCACUCAUAUUGGGCCUAAAACAUCUGUAGCCUGUUUUAUAAGUCUUUGGUGAAAACGGCUGGCUCAACUAGCCGAAUUGCUAAAGAUACUGUAUUACUAGGGGAAGGAAGACGUGAAGAGAAUUUUUGGGGUAACGGUGAGAUGUUAUGAUCCUAAAAGGACUACCAGUAGCGAAGGCGCUUCACGAGAACUAUCCCGACGGUGAGAGAUGAAAGCUGGGGGAGCGACCAGGAUUAGAUACCCUCGUAGUC